This 484-nucleotide ribosomal RNA is filed under the name uncultured bacterium. Its description in RNAcentral is "partial 16S ribosomal RNA". It matches the Rfam family "Bacterial small subunit ribosomal RNA", at positions 30 to 507 of the family's 1533-position model. The record is from RNAcentral.
AUUGAACGCUGGCGGCAGGCCUAACACAUGCAAGUCGAGCGGAUGAAGGGAGCUUGCUCCUGGAUUCAGCGGCGGACGGGUGAGUAAUGCCUAGGAAUCUGCCUGGUAGUGGGGGAUAACGUCCGGAAACGGGCGCUAACACCGCAUACGUCCUGAGGGAGAAAGUGGGGGAUCUUCGGACCUCACGCUAUCAGAUGAGCCUAGGUCGGAUUAGCUAGUUGGUGGGGUAAAGGCCUACCAAGGCGACGAUCCGUAACUGGUCUGAGAGGAUGAUCAGUCACACUGGAACUGAGACACGGUCCAGACUCCUACGGGAGGCAGCAGUGGGGAAUAUUGGACAAUGGGCGAAAGCCUGAUCCAGCCAUGCCGUGUGUGUGAAGAAGGUCUUCGGAUUGUAAAGCACUUUAAGUUGGGAGGAAGGGCAGUAAGUUAAUACCUUGCUGUUUUGACGUUACCAACAGAAUAAGCACCGGCUAACUUCGUG